Long non-coding RNA from Malurus melanocephalus (red-backed fairy wren), 263 nucleotides. RefSeq lists it as uncharacterized. The record is from RefSeq and is a predicted model, not a curated record. Lineage: Eukaryota; Metazoa; Chordata; Aves; Passeriformes; Maluridae. The transcript has 3 exons.
UUUCAUGAGAGUCGCUCUUUUCUCCCGAUAAAGGCGGCGUUUCGAUUUCCAGAAUCCCUCGCGCAUGGACCGCAACGUGGAGAUGUUCAUGACCAUCGAGAAAUGCCUGGUGCAGAAUAACUGCCUGGCUCGGCCCAACAUCUUCCUGCAGCAGGAGAUCGAGCCCAAGCUGCUGGGCAAGCUCAAGGACAUCGUCAAGAGGCACCAGGGCACCGUGACCGAGGACAAGAGCAACGCGUCGCACAUCGUGUGCCCCGUGCCCG